Molecule: ribosomal RNA, 496 nt
Filed under: uncultured bacterium
Lineage: Bacteria
Description: partial 16S ribosomal RNA
Rfam family: Bacterial small subunit ribosomal RNA
Source: RNAcentral
AUGAACGCUGGCGGCGUGCCUCAUACAUGCAAGUCGAGCGAACAGACGAGGAGCUUGCUCCUCUGACGUUAGCGGCGGACGGGUGAGUAACACGUGGAUAACCUACCUAUAAGACUGGGAUAACUUCGGGAAACCGGAGCUAAUACCGGAUAAUAUAUUGAACCGCAUGGUUCAAUAGUGAAAGACGGUUUUGCUGUCACUUAUAGAUGGAUCCGCGCCGCAUUAGCUAGUUGGUAAGGUAACGGCUUACCAAGGCAACGAUGCGUAGCCGACCUGAGAGGGUGAUCGGCCGCACUGGAACUGAGACACGGUCCAGACUCCUACGGGAGGCAGCAGUAGGGAAUCUUCCGCAAUGGGCGAAAGCCUGACGGAGCAACGCCGCGUGAGUGAUGAAGGUCUUCGGAUCGUAAAACUCUGUUAUUAGGGAAGAACAAAUGUGUAAGUAACUAUGCACGUCUUGACGGUACCUAAUCAGAAAGCCACGGCUAACUACGUG